UACGUAGGGUGCGAGCGUUGUCCGGAAUUACUGGGCGUAAAGAGCUCGUAGGCGGUCUGUCGCGUCGGCUGUGAAAACUCGGGGCUCAACCCCGAGCCUGCAGUCGAUACGGGCAGACUAGAGUGCUGUAGGGGAGACUGGAAUUCCUGGUGUAGCGGUGAAAUGCGCAGAUAUCGGGAGGAACACCUAUGGCGAAGGCAGCUCGCUACACGAAUAUUGACUCUGAGGCACGAAAGCGUGGGGAUCAAACAGG
This 253-nucleotide ribosomal RNA is filed under the name uncultured bacterium. Its description in RNAcentral is "partial 16S ribosomal RNA". It matches the Rfam family "Bacterial small subunit ribosomal RNA", at positions 524 to 776 of the family's 1533-position model. The record is from RNAcentral.